GAGUUUGAUCGUGGCUCAGAUUGAACGCUGGCGGCAUGCCUUACACAUGCAAGUCGAACGGCAGCACGGGAGCUUGCUCCUGGUGGCGAGUGGCGAACGGGUGAGUAAUGCAUCGGAACGUAUCCUGGAGUGGGGGAUAACGUAGCGAAAGUUACGCUAAUACCGCAUAUUCUGUGAGCAGGAAAGCGGGGGACCUUCGGGCCUCGCGCUCUUGGAGCGGCCGAUGUCGGAUUAGCUAGUUGGUGAGGUAAAGGCUCACCAAGGCGACGAUCCGUAGCAGGUCUGAGAGGAUGAUCUGCCACACUGGAACUGAGACACGGUCCAGACUCCUACGGGAGGCAGCAGUGGGGAAUUUUGGGACAAUGGGGGCAACCCUGAUCCAGCCAUGCCGCGUGAGUGAAGAAGGCC
RNAcentral lists this ribosomal RNA (408 nucleotides) under bacterium enrichment culture clone ALO1_GLFRUDD03F2VYV. RNAcentral's name for it is "bacterial SSU rRNA". It matches the Rfam family "Bacterial small subunit ribosomal RNA", at positions 9 to 416 of the family's 1533-position model. The record is from RNAcentral. RNAcentral also lists the same sequence under 1 other name.